RNAcentral lists this ribosomal RNA (253 nucleotides) under uncultured bacterium. Its description in RNAcentral is "partial 16S ribosomal RNA". It matches the Rfam family "Bacterial small subunit ribosomal RNA", at positions 524 to 776 of the family's 1533-position model. The record is from RNAcentral.
UACGGGGGGUGCGAGCGUUAUUCGGAAUUAUUGGGCGUAAAGGGCGCGCAGGCGGUUGAAUAAGUCGGGUGUGAAAGCCCUUGGCUUAACCAAGGAAGUGCAUUUGAUACUAUUUGACUUGAGUAUGGGAGAGGGAAGUGGAAUUCCUGGUGUAGAGGUGAGAUUCGUAGAUAUCAGGAGGAACACCGGUGGCGAAAGCGACUUCCUGGACCAAUACUGACGCUGAGGCGCGAAGGCGUGGGGAGUAAACAGG